GUCGGGAUAGCUCAGUUGGUAGAGCAGAGGACUGAAAAUUCUCGUGUCA
This 49-nucleotide transfer RNA is filed under the name Orobanche gracilis. RNAcentral describes it as "partial tRNA-Phe". It matches the Rfam family "tRNA", at positions 1 to 47 of the family's 71-position model. From Rfam's summary of the family: Transfer RNA (tRNA) molecules are approximately 80 nucleotides in length. Their secondary structure includes four short double-helical elements and three loops (D, anti-codon, and T loops). Further hydrogen bonds mediate the characteristic L-shaped molecular structure. tRNAs have two regions of fundamental functional importance: the anti-codon, which is responsible for specific mRNA codon recognition, and the 3' end, to which the tRNAs corresponding amino acid is attached (by aminoacyl-tRNA synthetases). tRNAs cope with the degeneracy of the genetic code in two manners: having more than one tRNA (with a specific anti-codon) for a particular amino acid; and 'wobble' base-pairing, i.e. permitting non-standard base-pairing at the 3rd anti-codon position. RNAcentral also lists the same sequence under 2 other names. Lineage: Eukaryota; Viridiplantae; Streptophyta; Magnoliopsida; Lamiales; Orobanchaceae. The record is from RNAcentral.